CUACGUGCCAGCAGCCGCGGUAAUACGGAAGGUCCAGGCGUUAUCCGGAUUUAUUGGGUUUAAAGGGAGCGUAGGCUGGAGAUUAAGUGUGUUGUGAAAUGUAGACGCUCAACGUCUGAAUUGCAGCGCAUACMUGGUUUCCUUGAGUACGCACAACGUUGGCGGAAUUCGUCGUGUAGCGGUGAAAUGCUUAGAUAUGACGAAGAACUCCGAUUGCGAAGGCAGCUGACGGGAGCGCAACUGACGCUUAAGCUCGAAGGUGCGGGUAUCGAACAGGAUUAGAUACCCUGGUAGUCCGCACAGUAAACGAUGGAUGCCCGCUGUUGGUACCUSGUAUCAGCGGCUAAGCGAAAGCAUUAAGCAUCCCCCCUGGGGAGUACGCCGGCAACGGUGAAACUCAAAGGAAUUGACGGGGGCCCGCACAAGCGGAGGAACAUGUGGUUUAAUUCGAUGAUACGCGAGGAACCUUACCCG
RNAcentral lists this ribosomal RNA (474 nucleotides) under uncultured bacterium. RNAcentral's name for it is "bacterial SSU rRNA". It matches the Rfam family "Bacterial small subunit ribosomal RNA", at positions 501 to 977 of the family's 1533-position model. The record is from RNAcentral.